GGCGGACUAGCGUAAUGGUUAACGCGCCAGUUUCCGGUUUACCCUCACCUUUAGCUGGAGAUUCUGGGUUCGAGCCCCAUGCCCGUCG
Molecule: transfer RNA, 88 nt
Organism: Gloeophyllum trabeum ATCC 11539
Lineage: Eukaryota; Fungi; Basidiomycota; Agaricomycetes; Gloeophyllales; Gloeophyllaceae
Rfam family: tRNA
About the family: Transfer RNA (tRNA) molecules are approximately 80 nucleotides in length. Their secondary structure includes four short double-helical elements and three loops (D, anti-codon, and T loops).
Source: Rfam